This is a long non-coding RNA of Oreochromis aureus, 1222 nucleotides long. The record is from Ensembl. NCBI's taxonomy places the organism in Eukaryota, Metazoa, Chordata, Actinopteri, Cichliformes, Cichlidae.
AUUCCUGCUUCACCAGGUUGGUAAAAUACUUUUUAUUAUUAUUUUAAACAAACAUCAGUUACUUUUGGGUUUAUUGUGUUUAUUUCCUGUUUUAGGUCGAUUCAGUCUGAGAGUCACAGUCCGGGCUCCUCCACAAAUCAUGGAGUCAACCAGGAUGAAACUCAUGAAUACAACUCUCUUCAUCCUGGAGCAGAUGACCCCAGAGAUGUCACAUACUCUCUUAUUGAACUUAAAACCCUUGGAAAGAAGAGGAAGCAUCAUAAACCAGAGCAGAGUGCUGUUUACUCUGAGGUGAAGACGGGAGCUGCAGAGGACAGUCUGAUGGUCAAACGCCCCAAAAAAGAAAAAGCCAAGAAAAAAGCAGGAAGAUCAAGUCCUGCAGCUGAUGCAGCAGUUUAUUCUGAAGUCACAUUAGGAAGCUUUCCUGGUCAGUGAGGAGAGCUGCAGCAGCAAAGCCAAAAAGAAGCAUUUUAUGAAUCCACUGUUGCUCCUCUGCUGCCCAAAUAUCAGACAUGCUCAGUCUUUAGUUUUAAAGAUAUUGAAUAAUAAUAUGAUAAAGAUUUGGCACUGUAUUUUAGUAUAAAGCACACAGAGGCGUGUCCUGUUUCAGAUCCAUGUUCUUUUUGUUCAGCUGGUAUUUUGUAUUCAUUGUUGAGCUUUUGUAUCAAACUUUGGCUGUGUCCUAUACCAACAGCAGUGAGAAAAAAGUUUGUGAUUUUUAGUAGCUGAUAGCAGUAACUUAAAUUCAGCAGAGUUACAUUAGUGCUGGUAUUUACACCAACAAAUACUUACUGAGUUUAAAGAUCUGCAUCACGUAAAAAUGAAAUAUUUGGUAUAAAACAUGAAAAAGCUCUGGCUGCUUCACGAUUCAUUUAAUGUCAUACUUUUAGUGAAGCUGUGCAUUUUAUCUUUUAUUUUAUUUUAUUUAAAUAAAUCUAACCUUGACUUCAUUUUCUCUUGUAUUUUAAUCAGAGUAAAAUAUUUAGAUUGUUUGGGCUUCAUUAGAUUUUCUGGUUUGUAAGUGGGCACCAGUAAGUGGCUUUAUGGUUGACUGCUUUAAAGUUUUUAUUGAAGCUAUAUUUUAAUGUUACCUAUUAUUUUUUCAGUAAGAUGUGGUGCUCUCCAUUUAGAAGUACUCUGAGUUCAUGUAUGUACACAUUCAUACUAUUUCUAAUUAUUGAAGAUUGAAGUCUGAUCAUCAAAACAAGUUGGUUGGGUCCCC